CAUCUACAAUAGGAGGUUUGAUUUUUCCCUAAAACAUCAUAUAAUAAACAGUUAAAAAAAAAUCUGAUCAUGAUAGUCUUUAUUUCCUGAAAGAAAGAGAUAACACGGUAAUAGAAAAAUUCUGUUUAUUGACGUUACAUAAUUGUAUGUACCUAGCAUUUAACAUGUCGGAAAUAUAAUUUAUGUCAGAAGAGAUUCAAUUAAAAAAAAACUAUUGGAUACAUUUUCUAGUUGUAAUGAUAGCAAGUAUUGUAAAUUACAUCUCUAAAAUUUGAAACAAACUAAUAUAUUCAGAUUAGCCUGCUGCAUUGCAAAAAACCAAAAAAAAAAACCAACAGAAAAACCCCAAGCUAAACCUGCACAUCGGCGUUCCUACAAUAAAACAUUCUAACGCCGUACAAUUUAGUAAUGUCAGAUUUUUUUUUAGAAAGAAACCUAUUGAAUGACAUAGUAAUUAAGAAAGAACAUGUUUGAUGGAAUACUAUGAGUAGUGUAUAUCUUGAUGGAAUACUGUAAAUCACAAUUGUUAAUUAAAUGGUCAGAUUUCAAAUUUCUUAAACUCACCCAAUAUCUGUAAAAUUGUUUCUUUAGAGCUUGAACCAUAAUAAAACAUAUCAUAAAAUUGCUUCUCAGAUGUCUAUAGGAACAAAGAAGAUGAAAAGAUAAAAUCUUCCUUCACUACCAAGAGAGGAUUGGUUUUGUUUUCUACAGGAAAACAAAAUUCAAGAUAGCAAAAUAUUAAUUACCUUCCUCAAAGCUCCUUGAAUAACCCCUCUUGUAUUAACAAAUCUAACUCCUAAAGUACGGUCUGCAUCUCUGAAUGUCACAGACAGAGAAAGUAGUAACCAUGGCCCAAGUCGUAACCAUGGUUGUACCAUUAU
Molecule: non-coding RNA, 881 nt
Organism: Pelobates cultripes (western spadefoot toad)
Lineage: Eukaryota; Metazoa; Chordata; Amphibia; Anura; Pelobatidae
Source: the annotation of a GenBank genome assembly